AUUGAACGCUGGCGGCAUGCUUUACACAUGCAAGUCGAACGGUAACAGGCCGCAAGGUGCUGACGAGUGGCGAACGGGUGAGUAAUGCAUCGGAACGUGCCCAGUCGUGGGGGAUAACUACUCGAAAGAGUAGCUAAUACCGCAUACGAUCUAUGGAUGAAAGCGGGGGACCGUAAGGCCUCGCGCGAGUGGAGCGGCCGAUGUCAGAUUAGGUAGUUGGUGGGGUAAAGGCUCACCAAGCCAACGAUCUGUAGCUGGUCUGAGAGGACAACCAGCCACACUGGGACUGAGACACGGCCCAGACUCCUACGGGAGGCAGCAGUGGGGAAUUUUGGACAAUGGGCGCAAGCCUGAUCCAGCAAUGCCGCGUGCAGGAAGAAGGCCUUCGGGUUGUAAACUGCUUUUGUACGGAACGAAACGGCUCUGGUUAAUACCCGGGGCUAAUGACGGUACCGUAAGAAUAAGCACCGGCUAACUACGUG
RNAcentral lists this ribosomal RNA (482 nucleotides) under uncultured bacterium. Its description in RNAcentral is "partial 16S ribosomal RNA". It matches the Rfam family "Bacterial small subunit ribosomal RNA", at positions 30 to 507 of the family's 1533-position model. The record is from RNAcentral.